UNGGGNAUCUUGCGCAAUGGGNGAAAGCCUGACGCAGCCAUGCCGCGUGAGUGAAGAAGGCCUUCGGGUUGUAAAGCUCUUUUGUCAGGGAAGAAACGGCUCCGGCUAAUAUCUGGGGCUAAUGACGGUACCUGAAGAAUAAGCACCGGCUAACUACGUGCCAGCAGCCGCGGUAAUACGUAGGGUGCGAGCGUUAAUCGGAAUUACUGGGCGUAAAGCGUGCGCAGGCGGUUUAGUAAGUCUGUCGUGAAAGCCCCGGGCUUAACCUGGGAAUUGCGAUGGAGACUGCAAGGCUUGAAUCUGGCAGAGGGGGGUAGAAUUCCACGUGUAGCAGUGAAAUGCGUAGAGAUGUGGAAGAACACCGAUGGCGAAGGCAGCCCCCUGGGUCAAGAUUGACGCUCAUGCACGAAAGCGUGGGGAGCAAACAGGAUUAGAUACCCUGGUAGUCCACGCCCUAAACGAUGUCUACUAGUUGUCGGGUCUUAAUUGACUUGGUAACGCAGCUAACGCGUGAAGUAGACCGCCUGGGGAGUACGGUCGCAAGAUUA
This 548-nucleotide ribosomal RNA is filed under the name uncultured bacterium. RNAcentral describes it as "bacterial SSU rRNA". It matches the Rfam family "Bacterial small subunit ribosomal RNA", at positions 355 to 896 of the family's 1533-position model. The record is from RNAcentral.